UUCAGUUCUCUCUCUUUGAUUCUUCCCUUAGGAUUGAGGAAGGCCUGGCCGUGGCUCACAGCUGAGUCACACCUCUCCAGUAAAGCCUGAGGAGAGCAUGUCAAACCACCGGAAGACCUCAGUCAUGUGGGUUUUCCGGUUCACCCGUGGCAACAGUAAUUAUUUUCCACACGAAAGGCAAAGAUUCUUGUGUGGAUCCCAGAAGGCAUCAUAGAGGUAUCUCUGUCUCAGGCAGGAGUCCUACUUCUUGAAAGACAGGCUACCAAAAGAUAGGUCAGGGAGGCACAGCUGAAAAGAGAAUCUUGGUUUUUACCUAAAUCCUGUGACUUCAUUUGUCUUAGCAGCUGCAUUCUGAAGAUUGUGAAUU
Molecule: long non-coding RNA, 367 nt
Organism: Homo sapiens (human)
Lineage: Eukaryota; Metazoa; Chordata; Mammalia; Primates; Hominidae
Exons: 3
Source: RefSeq, a predicted model, not a curated record